Molecule: long non-coding RNA, 428 nt
Filed under: Gossypium barbadense (sea-island cotton)
Lineage: Eukaryota; Viridiplantae; Streptophyta; Magnoliopsida; Malvales; Malvaceae
Description: long non-coding RNA (GBAR_LNC021259)
Source: RNAcentral
UAGGGUGUUGUUGGGCAUUUGCUGCAGUGGCAGCCAUGGAAGGUCUGAACCAAAUCACGAACGGAAACCUGGUCUCAUUGUCCGAGCAACAAGUAUUGGACUGCAGCGGUAAUAGCAAUGGUUGCAACGGUGGUAACAAGAUAGAAGCCUUCAAAUACGUCAUUCAGAACAAUGGAUUAACCAAGGAAGACAAUUAUCCAUAUCAAGCUAUGCAAGGAACUUGUGACUUACAAAAACAGGCAUCCCAAGUUGCCCAUAUCAGCAACUAUGAAUCCGUACCUACCAACAGUGAGCAAGAGUUACUUAAGGCUGUCUCGAACCAACCAGUCGCAGUUAGCAUUGAAGGUAGCGGAACCGAUUUUAGACAUUACAGCAGUGGGAUUUUCAAUGGAUACUGCGGAACUAAUCCCGACCAUGCUGUCACUAUC